AACGUAGGUCACAAGCGUUGUCCGGAAUUACUGGGUGUAAAGGGAGCGCGGGCGGGAAGACAAGUUGGAAGUGAAAUCUAUGGGCUCAACCCAUAAACUGCUUUCAAAACUGUUUUUCUUGAGUAGUGCAGAGGUAGGCGGAAUUCCCGGUGUAGCGGUGGAAUGCGUAGAUAUCGGGAGGAACACCAGUGGCGAAGGCGGCCUACUGGGCACCAACUGACGCUGAGGCUCGAAAGUGUGGGUAGCAAACAGG
This 253-nucleotide ribosomal RNA is filed under the name Faecalibacterium prausnitzii. RNAcentral's name for it is "partial 16S ribosomal RNA". It matches the Rfam family "Bacterial small subunit ribosomal RNA", at positions 524 to 776 of the family's 1533-position model. The record is from RNAcentral. Lineage: Bacteria; Bacillati; Bacillota; Clostridia; Eubacteriales; Oscillospiraceae.